This 291-nucleotide long non-coding RNA is filed under the name Lathyrus oleraceus (garden pea). RNAcentral's name for it is "Pisum sativum (pea) long non-coding RNA (PSAT_LNC021443)". The record is from RNAcentral. Lineage: Eukaryota; Viridiplantae; Streptophyta; Magnoliopsida; Fabales; Fabaceae.
UCGGAUCCGCUCCGACCAAGUAGCCUUCUUCUCCCUCUUUUACUUGAAACCUUUAAGUCGUUAUAUUCGCCGUUCUGAACUGAGUAAAACCCCUUUAACGAUUUCUGUAAAUUACAACUAGGGAGGUUUUAAUUUUGAAAUUAGGGUUUGGGGUUUGAAUUAUUUCUUGCUGUUGAUUUCAUUUUGAGUUGUCUGUUAGAAGGAAUCGAGGGUUUGUUGGGUUACGUUGAAAGUUUAUUUCGUCGGAGUUUUGAAUUUUCGUCUGGUUGGGAGGGCCGAUCCGGUUGUUUG